Molecule: ribosomal RNA, 522 nt
Filed under: uncultured bacterium
Lineage: Bacteria
Description: bacterial SSU rRNA
Rfam family: Bacterial small subunit ribosomal RNA
Source: RNAcentral
AGAGUUUGAUUAUGGCUCAGGAUGAACGCUAGCUACAGGCUUAACACAUGCAAGUCGAGGGGCAGCAUUGGAGUAGCAAUACUCAGAUGGCGACCGGCGCACGGGUGAGUAACACGUAUCCGAACCUGCCGCUUACUCGGGGAUAGCCUUUCGAAAGAAAGAUUAAUACCCGAUGGUAUAAAGAGUUCGCAUGUUCUCUUUAUUAAAGAAUUUCGGUAAGCGAUGGGGAUGCGUUCCAUUAGAUAGUUGGCGGGGUAACGGCCCACCAAGUCUACGAUGGAUAGGGGUUCUGAGAGGAAGGUCCCCCACAUUGGAACUGAGACACGGUCCAAACUCCUACGGGAGGCAGCAGUGAGGAAUAUUGGUCAAUGGACGAGAGUCUGAACCAGCCAAAAGUAGCGUGAAGGAUGACUGCCCUAUGGGUUGUUAAACUUCUUUUAAUAAGGGAAUAAAGUGAGGGACGUGUCCCUUUUUGUAUGUACCUUAUGAAUAAGGAUCGGCUAACUCCGUGCCAGCCGCCGC